GAUGAACGCUGGCGGCGUGCCUAAUACAUGCAAGUCGAGCGAACGGACGAGAAGCUUGCUUCUCUGAUGUUAGCGGCGGACGGGUGAGUAACACGUGGAUAACCUACCUAUAAGACUGGGAUAACUUCGGGAAACCGGAGUUAAUACCGGAUAAUAUUUUGAACCGCAUGGUUCAAAAGUGAAAGACGGUCUUGCUGUCACUUAUAGAUGGAUCCGCGCUGCAUUAGCUAGUUGGUAAGGUAACGGCUUACCAAGGCAACGAUGCAUAGCCGACCUGAGAGGGUGAUCGGCCACACUGGAACUGAGACACGGUCCAGACUCCUACGGGAGGCAGCAGUAGGGAAUCUUCCGCAAAGGGCGAAAGCCUGACGGAGCAACGCCGCGUGAGUGAUGAAGGUCUUCGGAUCGUAAAACUCUGUUAUUAGGGAAGAACAUAUGUGUAAGUAACUGUGCACAUCUUGACGGUACCUAAUCAGAAAGCCACGGCUAACUACGUG
RNAcentral lists this ribosomal RNA (497 nucleotides) under uncultured bacterium. RNAcentral's name for it is "partial 16S ribosomal RNA". It matches the Rfam family "Bacterial small subunit ribosomal RNA", at positions 28 to 507 of the family's 1533-position model. The record is from RNAcentral.